CAGCCGCGCGGGAAUACGAAGGGUGCAAGCGUUACUCGGAAUUACUGGGCGUAAAGCGUGCGUAGGUGGUGGUUUAAGUCCGUUGUGAAAGCCCUGGGCUCAACCUGGGAAUUGCAGUGGAUACUGGGUCACUAGAGUGUGGUAGAGGAUAGUGGAAUUUCCGGUGUAGCAGUGAAAUGCGUAGAGAUCGGAAGGAACAUCUGUGGCGAAGGCGACUAUCUGGGCCAACACUGACACUGAGGCACGAAAGCGUGGGGAGCAAACAGGAUUAGAUACCCCUGUAGUCCCUGUCUCUUAUACA
This 301-nucleotide ribosomal RNA is filed under the name uncultured bacterium. RNAcentral's name for it is "partial 16S ribosomal RNA". It matches the Rfam family "Bacterial small subunit ribosomal RNA", at positions 509 to 808 of the family's 1533-position model. The record is from RNAcentral.